RNAcentral lists this ribosomal RNA (466 nucleotides) under uncultured Klebsiella sp. RNAcentral's name for it is "bacterial SSU rRNA". It matches the Rfam family "Bacterial small subunit ribosomal RNA", at positions 338 to 795 of the family's 1533-position model. Lineage: Bacteria; Pseudomonadati; Pseudomonadota; Gammaproteobacteria; Enterobacterales; Enterobacteriaceae. The record is from RNAcentral.
CCUACGGGGGGCUGCAGUGGGGAAUAUUGCACAAUGGGCGCAAGCCUGAUGCAGCCAUGCCGCGUGUGUGAAGAAGGCCUUCGGGUUGUAAAGCACUUUCAGCGGGGAGGAAGGCGGUGAGGUUAAUAACCUCAUCGAUUGACGUUACCCGCAGAAGAAGCACCGGCUAACUCCGUGCCAGCAGCCGCGGUGAAUACGGAGGGUGCAAGCGUUAAUCGGAAUUACUGGGCGUAAAGCGCACGCAGGCGGUCUGUCAAGUCGGAUGUGAAAUCCCCGGGCUCAACCUGGGAACUGCAUUCGAAACUGGCAGGCUAGAGUCGUGUAGAGGGGGGUAGAAUUCCAGGUGUAGCGGUGAAAUGCGUAGAGAUCUGGAGGAAUACCGGUGGCGAAGGCGGCCCCCUGGACAAAGACUGACGCUCAGGUGCGAAAGCGUGGGGAGCAAACAGGAUUAGAUACCCGGGUAGUC